Tupaia belangeri chinensis (Chinese tree shrew) is the source of this 372-nucleotide long non-coding RNA. RefSeq lists it as uncharacterized. The record is from RefSeq and is a predicted model, not a curated record. NCBI's taxonomy places the organism in Eukaryota, Metazoa, Chordata, Mammalia, Scandentia, Tupaiidae. The transcript is spliced from 3 exons.
UGACUUACAAAUCCCUGCAUUUCAGUAGAAGAUGCCUAACUCAGUUAUGAUGUUAUGGAGGACAAUGAUCUCAUUUGUAACGAAGAGGAACAAGAGGAUUGGACUGGCUACUCAUUUGCUCCUUCAGUAAAAGCUUAUUGAACCCUUACCAUGUGCUAGGCUCUGGAUGAGGUUCUAUGGUAGCAGAGAACCAGAGCCUUGUCUACAGGGUAUUCAGAGUAUUAGUGGAAGAAACCAACAUAUCAACAGAACUACCGUUUGCUUCUCUGCUUGAGCCCAGGAGAGAGCAAGACUGGUGGCCAAAGUGUUCGGACCUGGUUGGAACAGAACUUGCAUGCUUCCGCUUUUCCUUAAAGGGAAACAAAAACUAAA